This 450-nucleotide ribosomal RNA is filed under the name uncultured bacterium. RNAcentral describes it as "partial 16S ribosomal RNA". It matches the Rfam family "Bacterial small subunit ribosomal RNA", at positions 354 to 796 of the family's 1533-position model. The record is from RNAcentral.
GUGGGGAAUAUUGGACAAUGGGCGAAAGCCUGAUCCAGCCAUGCCGCGUGUGUGAAGAAGGUCUUCGGAUUGUAAAGCACUUUAAGUUGGGAGGAAGGGUAGUAACCUAAUACGUUGCUACUUUGACGUUACCGACAGAAUAAGCACCGGCUAACUUCGUGCCAGCAGCCGCGGUAAUACGAAGGGUGCAAGCGUUAAUCGGAAUUACUGGGCGUAAAGCGCGCGUAGGUGGUUCAGUAAGUUGGAAGUGAAAUCCCCGGGCUCAACCUGGGAACUGCUUUCAAAACUGCUGAGCUAGAGUACGGUAGAGGGUGGUGGAAUUUCCUGUGUAGCGGUGAAAUGCGUAGAUAUAGGAAGGAACACCAGUGGCGAAGGCGACCACCUGGACUGAUACUGACACUGAGAGACGAAAGCGUGGGGAGCAAACAGGAUUAGAAACCCUAGUAGUCC